This 403-nucleotide long non-coding RNA is filed under the name Elaeis guineensis (African oil palm). Its description in RNAcentral is "long non-coding RNA (EGUI_LNC005237)". The record is from RNAcentral. Lineage: Eukaryota; Viridiplantae; Streptophyta; Magnoliopsida; Arecales; Arecaceae.
CUUGCUACUUGAAGCCGAAACCACCCAGUUGUCUUUUGAGGAUGUCAUCUUUUUGGGUGCCAGAGCAUCGUCGUCACUCGCUUCCGCUCGGUGUAGCCUUCUUACAUCUCCACAUGAGCAAAGUCUGCCUCAGAGGGCAUGCCAGGUAGCAUCUUCAUUUGGCAUAGGAGGUGUUGAAAAUUUUCAUCGCUUUGCUCACUGAGCUGUAGUGGCGGCCAUUGGAGCUGCUCUGGGAUGCCACUCCACGGAAGGGUCUUGGAUCUUUCCAAGAGUGGCCCGACCCUCUCCAAUGGGUGUAGCCUUCUGAUCCUUUUUAAAGAUUUAUCAUGAAGGGAAUGCAUCUCCAUGAGCCGUGAGACUGGCAUCAUCGAGUCUUACCACUUUUGUCAAAUCAACCCGAUAU